GAGGGAAACCGAGUCUUAACCGGGCGUUAAGUUGCAGGGUAUAGACCCGAAACCCGGUGAUCUAGCCAUGGGCAGGUUGAAGGUUGGGUAACACUAACUGGAGGACCGAACCGACUAAUGUUGAAAAAUUAGCGGAUGACCUGUGGCUGGGGGUGAAAGGCCAAUCAAACCGGGAGAUAGCUGGUUCUCCCCGAAAGCUAUUUAGGUAGCGCCUCGUGAAUUCAUCUCCGGGGGUAGAGCACUGUUUCGGCUAGGGGGCCAUCCCGGCUUACCAACCCGAUGCAAACUGCGAAUACCGGAGAAUGUUAUCACGGGAGACACACGGCGGGUGCUAACGUCCGUCGUGAAGAGGGAAACAACCCAGACCGCCAGCUAAGGUCCCAAAGUCAUGGUUAAGUGGGAAACGAUGUGGGAAGGCCCAGACAGCCAGGAUGUUGGCUUAGAAGCAGCCAUCAUUUAAAGAAAGCGUAAUAGCUCACUGGUCGAGUCGGCCUGCGCGGAAGAUGUAACGGGGCUAAACCAUGCACCGAAGCUGCGGCAGCGACGCUGAUGCGUUGUUGGGUAGGGGAGCGUUCUGUAAGCCUGCGAAGGUGUGUCGUGAGGCAUGCUGGAGGUAUCAGAAGUGCGAAUGCUGACAUAAGUAACGAUAAAGCGGGUGAAAAGCCCGCUCGCCGGAAGACCAAGGGUUCCUGUCCAACGUUAAUCGGGGCAGGGUGAGUCGACCCCUAAGGCGAGGCCGAAAGGCGUAGUCGAUGGGAAACGGGUUAAUAUUCCCGUACUUGGUGUUACUGCGAAGGGGGGACGGAGAAGGCUAUGUUGGCCGGGCGACGGUUGUCCCGGUUUAAGCGUGUAGGUGUGUGUUCCAGGUAAAUCCGGUUCACUUUAACACUGAGGCGUGAUGACGAGGCACUACGGUGCUGAAGCAACAAAUGCCCUGCUUCCAGGAAAAGCCUCUAAGCAUCAGGUAACAUCAAAUCGUACCCCAAACCGACACAGGUGGUCAGGUAGAGAAUACCAAGGCGCUUGAGAGAACUCGGGUGAAGGAACUAGGCAAAAUGGUGCCGUAACUUCGGGAGAAGGCACGCUGACACGUAGGUGAAGUGAUUUACUCAUGGAGCUGAAGUCAGUCGAAGAUACCAGCUGGCUGCAACUGUUUAUUAAAAACACAGCACUGUGCAAACACGAAAGUGGACGUAUACGGUGUGACGCCUGCCCGGUGCCGGAAGGUUAAUUGAUGGGGUCAGCGCAAGCGAAGCUCCUGAUCGAAGCCCCGGUAAACGGCGGCCGUAACUAUAACGGUCCUAAGGUAGCGAAAUUCCUUGUCGGGUAAGUUCCGACCUGCACGAAUGGCGUAAUGAUGGCCAGGCUGUCUCCACCCGAGACUCAGUGAAAUUGAACUCGCUGUGAAGAUGCAGUGUACCCGCGGCAAGACGGAAAGACCCCGUGAACCUUUACUAUAGCUUGACACUGAACAUUGAGCCUUGAUGUGUAGGAUAGGUGGGAGGCUUUGAAGUGUGGACGCCAGUCUGCAUGGAGCCGGCCUUGAAAUACCACCCUUUAAUGUUUGAUGUUCUAACGUGGACCCGUGAUCCGGGUUGCGGACAGUGUCUGGUGGGUAGUUUGACUGGGGCGGUCUCCUCCUAAAGAGUAACGGAGGAGCACGAAGGUUGGCUAAUCCUGGUCGGACAUCAGGAGGUUAGUGCAAUGGCAUAAGCCAGCUUGACUGCGAGCGUGACGGCGCGAGCAGGUGCGAAAGCAGGUCAUAGUGAUCCGGUGGUUCUGAAUGGAAGGGCCAUCGCUCAACGGAUAAAAGGUACUCCGGGGAUAACAGGCUGAUACCGCCCAAGAGUUCAUAUCGACGGCGGUGUUUGGCACCUCGAUGUCGGCUCAUCACAUCCUGGGGCUGAAGUAGGUCCCAAGGGUAUGGCUGUUCGCCAUUUAAAGUGGUACGCGAGCUGGGUUUAGAACGUCGUGAGACAGUUCGGUCCCUAUCUGCCGUGGGCGCUGGAGAACUGAGGGGGGCUGCUCCUAGUACGAGAGGACCGGAGUGGACGCAUCACUGGUGUUCGGGUUGUCAUGCCAAUGGCACUGCCCGGUAGCUAAAUGCGGAAGAGAUAAGUGCUGAAAGCAUCUAAGCACGAAACUUGCCCCGAGAUGAGUUCUCCCUGAGACUUAGAGUCUCCUGAAGGAACGUUGAAGACGACGACGUUGAUAGGCCGGGUGUGUAAGCGCAGCGAUGCGUUGAGCUAACCGGUACUAAUGAACCGUGAGGCUUAACCUUACAACGCCGAAG
Molecule: ribosomal RNA, 2293 nt
Filed under: Salmonella enterica subsp. enterica serovar 4,[5],12:i:-
Lineage: Bacteria; Pseudomonadati; Pseudomonadota; Gammaproteobacteria; Enterobacterales; Enterobacteriaceae
Also listed under: 1 other name
Description: partial 23S ribosomal RNA
Rfam family: Bacterial large subunit ribosomal RNA
Source: RNAcentral